This 638-nucleotide ribosomal RNA is filed under the name Aspergillus sp. EACS1. RNAcentral's name for it is "eukaryotic LSU rRNA". The stretch from base 243 to 396 matches the Rfam family "5.8S ribosomal RNA". The record is from RNAcentral. Lineage: Eukaryota; Fungi; Ascomycota; Eurotiomycetes; Eurotiales; Aspergillaceae.
UGUUAGGAGAAGUCGUAACAAGGUUUCCGUAGGUGAACCUGCGGAAGGAUCAUUACCGAGUGCGGGUCUUUAUGGCCCAACCUCCCACCCGUGACUAUUGUACCUUGUUGCUUCGGCGGGCCCGCCAGCGUUGCUGGCCGCCGGGGGGCGACUCGCCCCCGGGCCCGUGCCCGCCGGAGACCCCAACAUGAACCCUGUUCUGAAAGCUUGCAGUCUGAGUGUGAUUCUUUGCAAUCAGUUAAAACUUUCAACAAUGGAUCUCUUGGUUCCGGCAUCGAUGAAGAACGCAGCGAAAUGCGAUAACUAAUGUGAAUUGCAGAAUUCAGUGAAUCAUCGAGUCUUUGAACGCACAUUGCGCCCCCUGGUAUUCCGGGGGGCAUGCCUGUCCGAGCGUCAUUGCUGCCCUCAAGCCCGGCUUGUGUGUUGGGCCCUCGUCCCCCGGCUCCCGGGGGACGGGCCCGAAAGGCAGCGGCGGCACCGCGUCCGGUCCUCGAGCGUAUGGGGCUUCGUCUUCCGCUCCGUAGGCCCGGCCGGCGCCCGCCGACGCAUUUAUUUGCAACUUGUUUUUUUCCAGGUUGACCUCGGAUCAGGUAGGGAUACCCGCUGAACUUAAGCAUAUCAAUAAGCGGAGGAAAAGA